Molecule: ribosomal RNA, 484 nt
Filed under: uncultured bacterium
Lineage: Bacteria
Description: partial 16S ribosomal RNA
Rfam family: Bacterial small subunit ribosomal RNA
Source: RNAcentral
AUUGAACGCUGGCGGCAGGCCUAACACAUGCAAGUCGAGCGGAUGAAGGGAGCUUGCUCCUGGAUUCAGCGGCGGACGGGUGAGUAAUGCCUAGGAAUCUGCCUGGUAGUGGGGGAUAACGUCCGGAAACGGGCGCUAAUACCGCAUACGUCCUGAGGGCGAAAGGGGGGGAUCUUCGGACCUCACGCUAUCAGAUGAGCCUAUGUCGGAUUAGCUAGUUGGUGGGGUAAAGGCCUACCAAGGCGACGAUCCGUAACUGGUCUGAGAGGAUGAUCAGUCACACUGGAACUGAGACACGGUCCAGACUCCUACGGGAGGCAGCAGUGGGGAAUAUUGGACAAUGGGCGAAAGCCUGAUCCAGCCAUGCCGCGUGUGUGAAGAAGGUCUUCGGAUUGUAAAGCACUUUAAGUUGGGAGGAAGGGCAGUAAGUUAAUACCUUGCUGUUUUGACGUUACCAACAGAAUAAGCACCGGCUAACUUCGUG